AGAGGCCCAUCCGCGGCUGGGUGUGGAACGCUUGCCUUGUUGCCGUGGCGACGAAGCAAGCAUUCCACCAGGCCACUCACGCUGCCCGC
Myotis lucifugus (little brown bat) is the source of this 89-nucleotide non-coding RNA. Lineage: Eukaryota; Metazoa; Chordata; Mammalia; Chiroptera; Vespertilionidae. The record is from Rfam.